GAAUUCGCCCUUAGAGUUUGAUCCUGGCUCAGGAUGAACGCUGGCGGCGUGCUUAACACAUGCAAGUCGAGCGAAGCACUUAAGUUUGAUUCUUCGGAUGAAGAUUUUUGUGACUGAGCGGCGGACGGGUGAGUAACGCGUGGGUAACCUGCCUCAUACAGGGGGAUAACAGUUAGAAAUGACUGCUAAUACCGCAUAAGACCACGGUACCGCAUGGUACAGUGGUAAAAACUCCGGUGGUAUGAGAUGGACCCGCGUCUGAUUAGGUAGUUGGUGGGGUAACGGCCUACCAAGCCGACGAUCAGUAGCCGACCUGAGAGGGUGACCGGCCACAUUGGGACUGAGACACGGCCCAGACUCCUACGGGAGGCAGCAGUGGGGAAUAUUGCACAAUGGAGGAAACUCUGAUGCAGCGACGCCGCGUGAAGGAUGAAGUAUUUCGGGUUGUAAACUUCUUUUGUCGGGGACGAGUAGAAGACGGUACCUGGCGAAUAAGUCACGGCUAACUACGUGCCAGCAGCCGCGGUAAUACGUAGGUGGCGAGCGUUAUCCGGAAUGAUUGGGCGUAAAGGGUGCGUAGGUGGCAGAUCAAGUCUGGAGUAAAAGGUAUGGGCUCAACCCGUACUGGCUCUGGAAACUGAUCAGCUAGAGAACAGAAGAGGACGGCGGAACUCCAUGUGUAGCGGUAAAAUGCGUAGAUAUAUGGAAGAACACCGGUGGCGAAGGCGGCCGUCUGGUCUGGAUUCUGACACUGAAGCACGAAAGCGUGGGGGAGCAAAAGGAUUAGAUACCCCUAGUAGUCCCCCCCUAAACAAUGAGAACUAGGUGUUGGGGGAAUAACUCAGUGCCCCAGUUAACCCAGUAAGUUCUCCGCCUGGGGAGUAUGCACGCAAGUGUGAAACUCAAAGAAAUUGACGGGGGCCCGCACAAGCGGUGAAGUAUGUGGUUUAAUUCGAAGCAACGCGAAGAACCUUACCAGGUCUUGACAUCCGACUAACGAGAUAGAGAUAUGUCAGGUGCCCUUCGGGGAAAGUCGAGACAGGUGGUGCAUGGUUGUCGUCAGCUCGUGUCGUGAGAUGUUGGGUUAAGUCCCGCAACGAGCGCAACCCCUGCCAUUAGUUGCUACGCAAGAGCACUCUAAUGGGACCGCUACCGACAAGGUGGAGGAAGGUGGGGACGACGUCAAAUCAUCAUGCCCCUUAUGACCUGGGCUACACACGUAAUACAAUGGCCGUUAACAGAGGGAAGCAAAGCGGUGACGCAGAGCAAAACCCUAAAAACGGUCCCAGUUCGGACUGUAGGCUGCAACCCGCCUACACGAAGUUGGAAUUGCUAGUAAUCGCGGAUCAGCAUGCCGCGGUGAAUACGUUCCCGGGCCUUGCACUCACCGCCCGUCA
RNAcentral lists this ribosomal RNA (1397 nucleotides) under uncultured bacterium. RNAcentral describes it as "partial 16S ribosomal RNA". It matches the Rfam family "Bacterial small subunit ribosomal RNA". The record is from RNAcentral.